AGAAAAAAAAAAACCGCUGGGCUGACGCUGAGGAGGUGUGAUGCAGACAGGAGCCCCAGAGAGAUACGCGACGGAGAACGGGAAAAUACCGGACUAUAUUCAGGGAGAACUGUAUCUCGGCUGGCCGCAGGGAGGAAAAAGGAGAGCAGACUUACCCAUAUAUGGCUGUCUAGAUCCCGGAUCGCCGCAACAAGUCGGAGGGAGAGCAGCCGUGCACACGCCAUACAGUCGAAGUAGAGAGGAGGUAGGCGGGCUGGAGCAAUAGGGGGAGGCACCAUCAGAUCUGACCCGUCAGGAAGGGAUAGGAUCAGCCCAACUAUUGCCGCCCAGCAGGAGGAGUUGGGGGAGGAUCAGCCGAUGUCAUCGUCAUCCCCUCCUACAGUAUAUAAACCUUGCCAAGUUGUCAGCAGCCAGAUUCAUUGCCCAGAGCCCGGCUCCCAACAACAAGAAAGAACAAACUGAACAGCCUAUGGAGCAGCAAAAGAUUACACUGCCAGAGUCUGUCCAGGCAGUGCUACUGUGCAGGCGUACUGAAAGGGAAUCAUCAGGAGAGGGGGGAUCUCUUUGCACUCCCAUGGCUUGUUUGAUAGGAAAGAGCCUCUAACUCCACCUUACUGUAGCUAAGAUUUUGGAAGCUUCAUAAAUUAGAGAAGACUGCCGUUUCCAUACAGGACUGGGAGAGCAGUAUCCAGCGUAAGGAAGAACCUGCAACGAAGAAAUAGAAGGUGUAAAAGGUAACGCCGUGAUAUGAGGAAAGCCUAAGAAAAGUUUUGAAAGCCAUGGAUAUGCUCUCUGAACACAGAAUGUAGAAUUUUGUCUCUCUGCAAACUAUUUAAACAGUAAUAAAGAAAAUAGCCUGAAUGUAAUUUUAUUUGCAUAGACUAAUGACUUAAUGGUGUUAAUGCAUUAAAUCUCUACCAGAAAGCGAUAACAUUAUAUUUGGAAACUCUCCAAUAUAUGCAAAAGAUUGAUGACUUUUAAAGUAAAGUUGCAACACUAACUCUAAAUCACUUAUCUGCAACUAAGGAUAAAUCGUAAAAAAUGAACAUGAAUAUAUUUUAUUACAUUCAUCUUUCUUUUAUAAUUUAGGAAUGUGUGUAGGAGAAACUAAUAGAGACUAACAUAAUGUUCUACAAAACAGUGGAUAUUUUCUUUUGUAGACUUUUUUCAU
Long non-coding RNA from Pseudophryne corroboree (corroboree frog), 1171 nucleotides. RefSeq lists it as uncharacterized. Lineage: Eukaryota; Metazoa; Chordata; Amphibia; Anura; Myobatrachidae. The record is from RefSeq and is a predicted model, not a curated record. The transcript is spliced from 5 exons.